UGUUACGCUCAAAACAUAGGGCUCCCAAAAUCCUUAAAUUUCUUCACACAUAUCUCAAUUUCUUCGCUAAUCUUCUGUAGAUUAUUACAAUUGAGGCCCCUUCAGCGCCAAAAUCAAAUUGCCCGAAGGAGAAUGAUGCAGGCAUGUUGAUCGGAUAUUCAAAUCAACGUGGUGUGGUUUCUUUGAUAUUUUAUAUAAUAGAUAAGAUCAUGUACAAUACAGUU
RNAcentral lists this long non-coding RNA (224 nucleotides) under Helianthus annuus (common sunflower). RNAcentral describes it as "sRNA HanXRQr2_Chr16g0752711". Lineage: Eukaryota; Viridiplantae; Streptophyta; Magnoliopsida; Asterales; Asteraceae. The record is from RNAcentral.